Long non-coding RNA from Papaver somniferum (opium poppy), 464 nucleotides. RefSeq lists it as uncharacterized. Lineage: Eukaryota; Viridiplantae; Streptophyta; Magnoliopsida; Ranunculales; Papaveraceae. The transcript is spliced from 4 exons. The record is from RefSeq and is a predicted model, not a curated record.
CGGCUAAACGUGAUGGAGAAAUGAAAAGAACAGAGAAGCCGAAACUGGAGGCGACUGGAAGCUCCGGCUAGGGGUUUCACUUUCACGUGGUAAGACAAAGGGAAAACAAAGGAACUGAACUGGAUUAAGUAUCAAUCAGAUUAUCUAAGGGAGUGGAGAAAGAGAAGGAAAAGAUAAUCUUGAUUAGUUGCUAGAAAUUUGUUAUUGGACUAGAGACAGUCUAAGGAAGCCAAUACAACUUGGUUUUCUAUCUGAUUACAUACCAGAUGAUGAUGUUGAACUUGAAGAAGCGUCACUUGGUCCUAUCAACAAUAAUGCCACCACCACAAGUGUUGCUGACAUGGAUUAGAAGAUCAAGAUUCAAGACUUUGUAUUUGUCAUUUCCACCACUGUCCAGUCAUUGCUACUGCAUCACUAGCUGCACUGCUAGUUGUUCUUUUUUCAGAUUUUCUCAUUUUCAAGAC